CGGGGUGCAGCAGGCGCGAAAACUUUACAAUGCGGGAAACCGUGAUAAGGGGACACCGAGUGCCAGCAUCAUAUGCUGGCUGUCCAGGUGUGUAAACUACACCUGUUAGCAAGGGCCGGGCAAGACCGGUGCCAGCCGCCGCGGUAACACCGGCGGCCCGAGUGGUGAUCGUGAUUAUUGGGUCUAAAGGGUCCGUAGCCGGUUUGGUCAGUCCUCCGGGAAAUCUGACGGCUCAACCGUUAGGCUUUCGGGGGAUACUGCCAGGCUUGGAACCGGGAGAGGUAAGAGGUACUACAGGGGUAGGAGUGAAAUCUUGUAAUCCCUGUGGGACCACCUGUGGCGAAGGCGUCUUACCAGAACGGGUUCGACGGUGAGGGACGAAAGCUGGGGGCACGAACCGGAUUAGAUACCCGGGUAGUCCCAGCCGUAAACGAUGCUCGCUAGGUGUCAGGCAUGGCGCGACCGUGUCUGGUGCCGCAGGGAAGCCGUGAAGCGAGCCACCUGGGAAGUACGGCCGCAAGGCUGAAACUUAAAGGAAUUGGCGGGGGAGCACAAGGGCGAAUCGCG
RNAcentral lists this ribosomal RNA (567 nucleotides) under uncultured archaeon. RNAcentral's name for it is "bacterial SSU rRNA". It matches the Rfam family "Archaeal small subunit ribosomal RNA", at positions 326 to 897 of the family's 1478-position model. The record is from RNAcentral.